UACGUAGGGGGCGAGCGUUGUCCGGAUUUAUUGGGCGUAAAGCGUGCGUAGGCGGCUGCGCAAGUCGGGUGUGAAACCCCGGGGCUCAACCCCGGAACUGCAUCCGAUACUGCGUGGCUAGAGGUAGGUAGGGGAGAUCGGAAUUCCUGGUGUAGCGGUGAAAUGCGCAGAUAUCAGGAGGAGCACCGGUGGCGAAGGCGGAUCUCUGGGCCUUACCUGACGCUCAGGCACGAAAGCUAGGGGAGCGAACAGG
This 253-nucleotide ribosomal RNA is filed under the name uncultured bacterium. Its description in RNAcentral is "partial 16S ribosomal RNA". It matches the Rfam family "Bacterial small subunit ribosomal RNA", at positions 524 to 776 of the family's 1533-position model. The record is from RNAcentral.